AUGAAUGUGUCUUUUGUCCAGCUCGGCCGCCUCGGAUCUCACUGCCACCGGCCUUCACGCACACCCUCGCCACCAGCCUUUGCCCCGUCAGCCUCAGCCCCAGCUCAUUCUCUCAGGCAGUCCCAGCAUUGGCAUGGUACCUCCUCCCGCCGUGGGCCUCACGUCUCUGCUCCCUGUCAACCCUACUGCCAUCAGCAUCACCACAAGCGACUUGUCUGCCCAGGAGGAUGCAACACCAUCUACCUCUACCGGCCACCUUUCAGUGUUUUCUGCUUUCCAAGUAAAGACACCAGCAGUGCCCUCAGAGCGGACCAGCCAGAGAUUUUCCGAAGCCUCCCAUAUAGGCUCCUCCGUGGAGGAGGCCUGAGAUGCUGUCAUGACUUUGGAGCCAGGGUGGCCGACCACCUUGGCCUGGCCAUCUUUGGGGUGGGCUUUGGGAGCCCAGCACUGCUGCCGAGUGUGGUGGAUGAGAACGGCUGCUGCUUGCUGUACGUGGUGGAGCUGUGUGGCGUGGAGCGAGCCUUCAGAGCUGAGCAUUUGACCAACACCAGAGUGGUUCGGGAACAGGAUGCGGACAUUGUCCUCAACGACCAGCGGGAAGGGGGUGCUUUGCGAGAGGCUGCCGAGUUUGAAUUGUCAGGCUGCCCAGUCCUGCUUCGACGAAGCCGACGGACGUGGAAAGCCUUUGGUCUGUGGAUUUUACAAGUGGGAUUUUCCACAACGCUGCUGUGCGCGGCGUGGAUGCCACAUGCAUGUUGCUGGGGGACGCCACUUCGGACACUGUUUUCUCUGGGACAUGCCUUCUGCCCAGAUAUGGCUGCCUUAAAAGAUGCAGACACUGUUAUGAUCAGCAUGAAGUUUCCCUGUGGGGCUAUGGUCAGCGUGGACGUCAGCCAGCACCGUACAGACAGCUGUGACCAGGGAUUGGAGGGAAAGAACCUCCUGAAAUCACCAAAGAGCAGUUCCUCAGGGUCUUCCGGGUGGCUGCGGCCACGGAGCAGUCGUGGUGGAGCCGGUCAGCUGUGGCCCUGCCCUGCGAAUCGGCAGAGGCCUCCGUGGUGAAGACAGAAGCUCCGUGAACCAACCCGAGGCUGGAGACAAGAUCCUGCCCAAUAUCCAGUUGCCUGUUUCUCUUCUCACUGUUACUGAGAGAGGGAGACAGAACCUUCUGGCGAUCUUGUCCUCACUGGAGACUCAGAACAGGAAGCAUUGGGAAACCAU
This 1221-nucleotide long non-coding RNA is filed under the name Papio anubis (olive baboon). RNAcentral's name for it is "lncRNA (ENSPANG00000040359.1)". The record is from RNAcentral. Lineage: Eukaryota; Metazoa; Chordata; Mammalia; Primates; Cercopithecidae.